This 203-nucleotide long non-coding RNA is filed under the name Mytilus galloprovincialis (Mediterranean mussel). Lineage: Eukaryota; Metazoa; Mollusca; Bivalvia; Mytilida; Mytilidae. The record is from RNAcentral.
AAAAAAUUAUCCUUAAGUAUUUACAAGUUAUACAGAUAAACAGAUGUUAGUAUGCACAUUAUCUAUGAUAUGAAAAACAAAAUUCUAGCUAGGAAAACGUUCCCGUUGUGAAGCUUAACUUGGAAAAUCCGAUUGUUACUUGGAUCACAUACAUUGCGGUAUUUUUUUUCAAUAACACCACUCCUUUCGAGUUCAUGAUACUU